This 481-nucleotide ribosomal RNA is filed under the name uncultured bacterium. Its description in RNAcentral is "partial 16S ribosomal RNA". It matches the Rfam family "Bacterial small subunit ribosomal RNA", at positions 30 to 507 of the family's 1533-position model. The record is from RNAcentral.
UUGAACGCUGGCGGCCUGCCUUACACAUGCAAGUCGAACGGUAACGGGCCUUCGGGUGCCGACGAGUGGCGAACGGGUGAGUAAUACAUCGGAACGUGCCCGAUCGCGGGGGAUAACGAGGCGAAAGCUUUGCUAAUACCGCAUACGAUCUACGGAUGAGAGCAGGGGACCGCAAGGCCUUGCGCGGACGGAGCGGCCGAUGGCAGAUUAGGUAGUUGGUGGGAUAAAAGCUUACCAAGCCGACGAUCUGUAGCUGGUCUGAGAGGAUGAUCAGCCACACUGGGACUGAGACACGGCCCAGACUCCUACGGGAGGCAGCAGUGGGGAAUUUUGGACAAUGGGCUCAAUCCUGAUCCAGCCAUGCCGCGUGCAGGAUGAAGGCCUUCGGGUUGUAAACUGCUUUUGUACGGAACGAAAAGCCUUCUUUUAAUACAGGAGGGUCAUGACGGUACCGUAAGAAUAAGCACCGGCUAACUACGUG